GACGCUGGCGGCGUGCCUAACACAUGCAAGUCGAGCGGAGUCGGUAAGAGGAAGUUUUCGGAUGGAAUCUUAUUGAUUUAGCGGCGGACGGGUGAGUAACGCGUGAGCGACCAACCUUGCACAGGGGGAUAACGGACCGAAAGGUUCACUAAUACCGCAUGAGACCACGGUGUUGCAUGACACAGAGGUCAAAGGAGCAAUCCGGUGCAAGACGGGCUCGCGUCCGAUUAGGUAGUUGGAGGGGUAACGGCCCACCAAGCCUAUGAUCGGUAGCCGACCUGAGAGGGUGAUCGGCCACAUUGGAACUGAGAUACGGUCCAAACUCCUACGGGAGGCAGCAGUGGGGAAUAUUGGGCCAAUGGGGGAAACCCUGACCCAGCAACGCCGCGUGAAGGAAGAAGGUUUUCGGAUUGUAAACUUCUGUCCUUGGUGAAGAGAAGAAGACGGUAGCCAAGGAGGAAGCCCCGGCUAACUACGUGCCAGCCGCCGC
This 490-nucleotide ribosomal RNA is filed under the name uncultured bacterium. RNAcentral's name for it is "bacterial SSU rRNA". It matches the Rfam family "Bacterial small subunit ribosomal RNA", at positions 33 to 518 of the family's 1533-position model. The record is from RNAcentral.